CCCUUAGAUGUUCUGGGCCGCACGCGCGCUACACUGACGAAUGCAACGAGCUUAUAACCUUGGCCGAAAGGUCUGGGUAAUCUCCAAAUUUCGUCGUGAUGGGGAUAGAUUAUUGCAAUUAUUAAUCUUCAACGAGGAAUGCCUAGUAAGCGCAAGUCAUCAGCUUGCGUUGAUUACGUCCCUGCCCUUUGUACACACCGCCCGUCGCUCCUACCGAUUGAAUGGUCCGGUGAAGCGCUCGGACCGCGGCCUCUUGACGGUUCGCUGUCGAUUGGCUGUGGGAAGUUCGUUAAACCUUAUCAUUUAGAGGAAGGAGAAGUCGCAACA
Molecule: ribosomal RNA, 327 nt
Filed under: uncultured eukaryote
Lineage: Eukaryota
Description: partial 18S ribosomal RNA
Rfam family: Eukaryotic small subunit ribosomal RNA
Source: RNAcentral